RNAcentral lists this transfer RNA (70 nucleotides) under Trachipterus trachypterus (ribbon fish). Its description in RNAcentral is "tRNA-Pro". It matches the Rfam family "tRNA". Rfam says of the family: Transfer RNA (tRNA) molecules are approximately 80 nucleotides in length. The record is from RNAcentral. Lineage: Eukaryota; Metazoa; Chordata; Actinopteri; Lampriformes; Trachipteridae.
CAGAGAGUAGUUUAACGCAGAAUUCUAGCUUUGGGAGCUAGAGGUGGGAGUUUAAGUCUCCUCUUUCUGA